UACGGAGGGUGCAAGCGUUAUCCGGAUUCACUGGGUUUAAAGGGUGCGUAGGAGGGCAGGUAAGUCAGUGGUGAAAUCCCCGAGCUUAACUCGGGAACUGCCGUUGAUACUAUCUGUCUUGAAUACCGUGGAGGUGAGCGGAAUAUGUCAUGUAGCGGUGAAAUGCUUAGAUAUGACAUAGAACACCAAUUGCGAAGGCAGCUCGCUACACGAAUAUUGACUCUGAGGCACGAAAGCGUGGGGAUCAAACAGG
This 253-nucleotide ribosomal RNA is filed under the name uncultured bacterium. RNAcentral's name for it is "partial 16S ribosomal RNA". It matches the Rfam family "Bacterial small subunit ribosomal RNA", at positions 524 to 776 of the family's 1533-position model. The record is from RNAcentral.